This 460-nucleotide ribosomal RNA is filed under the name uncultured bacterium. RNAcentral describes it as "partial 16S ribosomal RNA". It matches the Rfam family "Bacterial small subunit ribosomal RNA", at positions 338 to 795 of the family's 1533-position model. The record is from RNAcentral.
CCUACGGGAGGCAGCAGUGAGGAAUCUUGGUCAAUGGCCGGAAGUCUGAACCAGCCAAGUCGCGUGAGGGAAUAAGGCCCUCUGGGUCGUAAACCUCUUUUGUCAGGGAGCAAAGGCGUCCACGUGAGGACGCGAGGAGAGUAGCUGCAGAAAAAGCAUCGGCUAACUCCGUGCCAGCAGGCGCGUUAAUACGGAGGAUGAGGGCGUUAUCCGGUUGGAUUGGGGUUAAAGGGUGCGUAGGCGGAGUGUCAAGUCAGCGGUAAAAUUUCGGGGCUAAACCCAGUCGUGCCGUUGAAACUGACGCCCUUGAGUGAGUGAGAAGUAAGCGGAAUGCGUGGUGUAGCGGUGAAAUGCAUAGAUAUCACGCAGAACGCCGAUUGCGAAGGCAGCUUACCGGCGCUCAACUGACGCUGAGGCACGAAAGUGCGGGUAUCGAACAGGAUUAGAUACCCUUGUAGUC